GACGAACGCUGGCGGCGUGCCUAAUACAUGCAAGUUGAGCGAUGAAGAUUGGUGCUUGCACCAAUUUGAAGAGCAGCGAACGGGUGAGUAACGCGUGGGGAAUCUGCCUUUGAGCGGGGGACAACAUUUGGAAACGAAUGCUAAUACCGCAUAACAACUUUAAACAUAAGUUUUAAGUUUGAAAGAUGCAAUUGCAUCACUCAAAGAUGAUCCCGCGUUGUAUUAGCUAGUUGGUGAGGUAAAGGCUCACCAAGGCGAUGAUACAUAGCCGACCUGAGAGGGUGAUCGGCCACAUUGGGACUGAGACACGGCCCAAACUCCUACAGGAGGCAGCAGUAGGGAAUCGUCGGCAAUGGACGAAAGUCUGACCGAGCAACGCCGCGUGAGUGAAGAAGGUUUUCGGAUCGUAAAACUCUGUUGGUAGAGAAGAACGUUGGUGAGAGUGGAAAGCCCAUCAAGUGACGGUAACUACCCAGAAAGGGACGGCUAACUACGUG
Molecule: ribosomal RNA, 497 nt
Filed under: uncultured bacterium
Lineage: Bacteria
Description: partial 16S ribosomal RNA
Rfam family: Bacterial small subunit ribosomal RNA
Source: RNAcentral